RNAcentral lists this ribosomal RNA (253 nucleotides) under uncultured bacterium. Its description in RNAcentral is "partial 16S ribosomal RNA". It matches the Rfam family "Bacterial small subunit ribosomal RNA", at positions 524 to 776 of the family's 1533-position model. The record is from RNAcentral.
UACGAAGGGGGCUAGCGUUGCUCGGAAUCACUGGGCGUAAAGGGCGCGUAGGCGGCCAUUCAAGUCGGGGGUGAAAGCCUGUGGCUCAACCACAGAAUUGCCUUCGAUACUGGGCGUCUCGAGACCGGAAGAGGUGAGUGGAACUGCGAGUGUAGAGGUGAAAUUCGUAGAUAUUCGCAAGAACACCAGUGGCGAAGGCGGCUCACUGGUCCGGUUCUGACGCUGAGGCGCGAAAGCAUGGGGAGCAAACAGG